GUUGAAAGGGAAGCGCUUGCAACCAGACCUGCCUGCAGUUGCUCAUCCGUGGCUUUUGCCCGGUGCACUCUUCUGCUGUCAGGCCAGCAUCAGUUCGGGCGGUCGGAUAAAGGCUUCGGGAAUGUAGCUCCUCUCGGGGAGUGUUAUAGCCCGUUGCGAAAUGCGGCCAGCCUGGACUGAGGUCCGCGCUUCGGCUAGGAUGCUGGCGUAAUGGUUGUAAGCGGCCCGUCUUGAAACACGGACCAAGGAGUCUAACAUCUGUGCGAGUGUUUGGGUGUUAAACCCGUACGCGUAAUGAAAGUGAACGGAGGCGGGAACCCCUCGGGGUGCACCGUCGACCGAUCCUGAUGUCUUCGGAUGGAUUUGAGUAAGAGCAUAGCUGUUGGGACCCGAAAGAUGGUGAACUAUGCCUGAAUAGGGUGAAGCCAGAGGAAACUCUGGUGGAGGCUCGCAGCGGUUCUGACGUGCAAAUCGAUCGUCAAAUUUGGGCAUAGGGGCGAAAGACUAAUCGAACUAUCUAGUAGCUGGUUCCUGCCGAAGUUUCCCUCAGGAUAGCAGUAACGUUUUCAGUUUUAUGAGGUAAAGCGAAUGAUUAGAGGCCUGGGGGUUGAAACAACCUUCACCUAUUCUCAAACUUUAAAUAUGUAAGAAGUCCUUGUUGCUCAGUUGAACGUGGACAUUUGAAUGUAUCGUUACUAGUGGGCCAUUUUUGGUAAGCAGAACUGGCGAUGCGGGAUGAACCGAACGCGGAGUUAAGGUGCCGGAAUGCACGCUCAUCAGACACCACAAAAGGUGUUAGUUCAUCUG
This 807-nucleotide ribosomal RNA is filed under the name uncultured Ascomycota. RNAcentral's name for it is "LSU rRNA". It matches the Rfam family "Eukaryotic large subunit ribosomal RNA", at positions 407 to 1235 of the family's 3401-position model. Lineage: Eukaryota; Fungi; Ascomycota. The record is from RNAcentral.